Camellia sinensis is the source of this 238-nucleotide non-coding RNA. The record is from RefSeq and is a predicted model, not a curated record. Lineage: Eukaryota; Viridiplantae; Streptophyta; Magnoliopsida; Ericales; Theaceae.
UAACUCCAGUCAUAUCUGCUAUGACCAGAUUCUUCACCUCUUCAGGAGGGUCCUCCAGCAGCACUACAUGUUCACCUUGCUCCACACCUAGGCUUGCAAGCUUAUCAGCACAUCUGUUGCCCUCCCUUAGUGUAUGUCGCAGGAGGCAAUCGCAUCUUUUCAGCUGGAAUCUUGCAUCUUCAAUCAGAGCUUUGUAUGGAGAAUUGGUAUUGGGACCGUUCUCAAUUCAACUGUUGAG